AGGUAGUCGUCUACGGUAGGGCUGAUAAUUGGGGUGAAGUCGUAACAAGGUAGCCGUAGGGGAACCUGCGGCUGGAUCACCUCCUUU
This 87-nucleotide ribosomal RNA is filed under the name Desulfonatronum sp. SC1. RNAcentral describes it as "Bacterial small subunit ribosomal RNA". It matches the Rfam family "Bacterial small subunit ribosomal RNA", at positions 1447 to 1533 of the family's 1533-position model. The record is from Rfam by way of RNAcentral. Lineage: Bacteria; Pseudomonadati; Thermodesulfobacteriota; Desulfovibrionia; Desulfovibrionales; Desulfonatronaceae.